CCUACGGGAGGCAGCAGUGAGGAAUAUUGGUCAAUGGGCGAAAGCCUGAACCAGCCAAGUCGCGUGAGGGACGACGGUCCUAUGGUUUGUAAACUUCUUUUGUCGGGGAACAAAGGUGUCCACGGGUGGGUGGAUGAGUGUACCCGAUGAACAAGCAUCGGCUAACUCCGUGCCAGCAGCCGCGGUAAUACGGGGGAUGCAAGCGUUGUCCGGAUUUAUUGGGUUAAUGGGGUGCGUAGUGGGACAGUAAGUUAGGAGGUAAAAAUGGGGUGCUAAACGCCGUACAGCCGUUGAAACUGGGAGACUUGAGUGGGCGAGAGGUAAGCGGAAUGCGUGGUGUAGCGGUGAAAUGCAUAGAUAUCACGCAGAACUCCGAUUGCGAAGGCAGCAUACCAGCGCCCAACUGACACUGAGGCACGAAAGCGUGGGGAUCGAACAGGAUUAGAUACCCUUGUAGUC
This 459-nucleotide ribosomal RNA is filed under the name uncultured bacterium. RNAcentral describes it as "partial 16S ribosomal RNA". It matches the Rfam family "Bacterial small subunit ribosomal RNA", at positions 338 to 795 of the family's 1533-position model. The record is from RNAcentral.